This 488-nucleotide ribosomal RNA is filed under the name uncultured bacterium. RNAcentral describes it as "bacterial SSU rRNA". It matches the Rfam family "Bacterial small subunit ribosomal RNA", at positions 32 to 517 of the family's 1533-position model. The record is from RNAcentral.
AAUCAACGCUGGCGGCGUGCCUCAGACAUGCAAGUCGAACGCGAAAGUUUCCUUCGGGGAGCGAGUAGAGUGGCGCACGGGUGAGUAACACGUAGGUAAUCUACCUUCGGAUGGGGAAUAACAAUCGGAAACGGUUGCUAAUACCGCAUAAUGCAGCGGCACCUAAUGGUGACAGUUGUUAAAGCGGGGGAUCGUAAGACCUCGCGUCUGAAGAGGAGCCUGCGGCGGAUUAGCUUGUUGGUAAGGUAAUGGCUUACCAAGGCGACGAUCGGUAGCUGGUCUGAGAGGACGACCAGCCACACUGGAACUGAGACACGGUCCAGACUCCUACGGGAGGCAGCAGUGGGGAAUAUUGGGCAAUGGAGGCAACUCUGACCCAGCCAUGCCGCGUGGGUGACGAAGGUCUUCGGAUUGUAAAGCCCUUUCGGCGGGGACGAUGAUGACGGUACCCGCAGAAGAAGCCCCGGCUAACUUCGUGCCAGCAGCCG